CUGGUGCCAGCAGCCGCGGUAAUUCCAGCUCCAAUAGCGUUAUAUUAAAGUUGUUGCAGUUAAAAAGCUCGUAGUUGAAUUUCGGGAUUGACACAUCGGUCGUGCCUUAAGGGGUAUGAACUGGUGUAGUCAAUUUCUCACCUUCUGGAGAACCGCGAUGCCCUUAAUUGGGUGUCACGGGGAACCAGGACCUUACUUUGAAGAAAUUAGAGUGUUUAAAGCAGGCAUUUUGCUUGAAUACAUUAGCAUGGAAUAAUAAAAUAGGACGGCAUGAUUCUAAUUUUGUUGGUUUCUAGGAUCACCGUAAUGAUUAAUAGGGAUAGUUGGGGGCAUUAGUAUUCAAUUGUCAGAGGUGAAAUUCUUGGAUUUAUUGAAGACUAACUACUGCGAAAGCAUUUGCCAAGGAUGUUUUCAUUAAUCAAGAACGAAAGUUAGGGGAUCGAAGACGAUCAGAUACCGUCGUAGUCUUAACCAUAAACUAUGCCGACUAGGAAUCAGACGAUGUUAAUUUUUUAAUGACUCGUUUGGCACCUUACG
RNAcentral lists this ribosomal RNA (537 nucleotides) under uncultured Entrophospora. Its description in RNAcentral is "SSU rRNA". It matches the Rfam family "Eukaryotic small subunit ribosomal RNA", at positions 561 to 1092 of the family's 1831-position model. The record is from RNAcentral. Lineage: Eukaryota; Fungi; Glomeromycota; Glomeromycetes; Entrophosporales; Entrophosporaceae.